UACGUAGGGUGCGAGCGUUAAUCGGAAUUACUGGGCGUAAAGUGUGCGCAGGCGGCCGCGCAAGUCGAGUGUGAAAUCCCCGGGCUUAACUUGGGAAUUGCGCUCGAAACUACGUGGCUGGAGUGUGGCAGAGGAAGGUGGAAUUCCUGGUGUAGCAGUGAAAUGCGUAGAUAUCAGGAGGAAUACCGAUGGCGAAGGCAGGUCUCUGGGCUGACACUGACGCUCAUGCACGAAAGCGUGGGGAGCAAACAGG
This 253-nucleotide ribosomal RNA is filed under the name uncultured bacterium. Its description in RNAcentral is "partial 16S ribosomal RNA". It matches the Rfam family "Bacterial small subunit ribosomal RNA", at positions 524 to 776 of the family's 1533-position model. The record is from RNAcentral.